Molecule: ribosomal RNA, 252 nt
Filed under: uncultured bacterium
Lineage: Bacteria
Description: partial 16S ribosomal RNA
Rfam family: Bacterial small subunit ribosomal RNA
Source: RNAcentral
UACGUAGGGUGCAAGCGUUAUCCGGAAUUAUUGGGCGUAAAGAGCUCGUAGGCGGCUUGUCGCGUCGAAUGUGAAAUCCCGAGGCUCAACUUCGGGCUUGCAUUCGAUACGGGCAGGCUAGAGUUCGGUAGGGGAGACUGGAAUUCCUGGUGUAGCGGUGAAAUGCGCAGAUAUCAGGAGGAACACCGAUGGCGAAGGCAGGUCUCUGGGCCGAUACUGACGCUGAGGAGCGAAAGCGUGGGAGCGAACAGG